UACGGAGGGUGCAAGCGUUAAUCGGAAUUACUGGGCGUAAAGCGCGCGUAGGUGGUUUGAUAAGCGAGAUGUGAAAGCCCCGGGCUUAACCUGGGAACGGCAUUUCGAACUGUCAGGCUAGAGUAUGGUAGAGGAGUGUGGAAUUUCCUGUGUAGCGGUGAAAUGCGUAGAUAUAGGAAGGAACACCAGUCGGCGAAGGCGGCACUCUGGACCAAUACUGACACAUGAGGUGCGGAAAACCGUGGGGAAGCAAACACGGAUUAGAUACCCGUGAGUCC
This 278-nucleotide ribosomal RNA is filed under the name uncultured bacterium. RNAcentral's name for it is "partial 16S ribosomal RNA". It matches the Rfam family "Bacterial small subunit ribosomal RNA", at positions 524 to 796 of the family's 1533-position model. The record is from RNAcentral.